GCUCAUCCAUAAACCGGUUACUGGUACAAAUAACAUAAAGAAAUGUAACCAACGUUUAUUGGAAAAAGCAACCCCAAAGAUUUGAGACCAAAAGCGGUUAGCGGUGACCAUUGAAUAAGUUUCUUCAGCUUGAGUUGGGUUAAAGGCACGGAAUGUAUUUGCACCAUCACCAUCUUCAAAUAAAGUAUUUUCUACAGUAGCACCAUGAAUAGCGCAUAGCAGAGCAGCGCCCAAUACGCCGGCAACUCCCAUCAUAUGAAAUGGGUUCAGCGUCCAGUUAUGAAACCCUUGGAAAAAGAGGAUGAAUCGAAAUAUAGCUGCUACACCAAAACUAGGCGCAAAAAACCAACCAGACUGGCCUAAUGGAUAAAUCAGGAAUACAGAAACAAAAACAGCAAUUGGAGCAGAGAAUGCGAUUGCAUUAUAAGGUCGCAAUUGCACAGAUCGAGCAAGUUCAAAUUGACGUAACAUAAAACCUAUUAGUCCAAAAGCACCGUGGAGAGCAACAAAAGUCCACAAACCACCUAAUUGACACCAACGAGUAAAAUCUCCUUGUGCUUCAGGACCCCAUAAUAAUAACAAAGAAUGUGCUAAACUAUUAGCAGGAGUAGAAACUGCGGCGGUUAAGAAGUUGCAGCCUUCCAAAUAGGAACUCGCCAAUCCAUGGGUAUACCAUGAGGUUACAAAGGUUGUACCUGUGAACCAACCCCCUACGGCGAAAUAGGCACAAGGAAAGAGCAAUAGACCGGACCAACCUACAAAAACGAAACGGUCCCUCCGUAACCAGUCAUCCAUAAUAUCAAAUAAAUCAUUUUCGUCUUUGGUAAAUUUACCAAGGGCUAUAGUCAUAGUGAUCCUCCUAUUCAACUACUUCAACCAUUUCCGAACACCUCAUAGCAUUUUCAGGGCCUUUGAAACUUCUAUCAUUUAUGUAUGAUUUGAUUUUUCGUACACUGCCCCUUCUAAUUUCUUUUCUAAUGGGUUUCGAAGAAAAAAAUUCUUUAUCGGUCUAUAACCCGAUUUAGGUAAAUUCAUGAAUUCAAUUCGGUUAUUCCUUCUUAUAGUCUUAAUAACCGCACGAAUCAUGAAUUUUUUUAUGACUCAUCAAUCAGAUAGAUUAAUUUUUUGAAAGAACUGUUCAAGGAAUAAGUGAUCCCCCUCUCCUUACUAGUUGAUCCUCAGACUUACUUCUCUCAUUCUAUCAAACUAAUCUUAUUCUUGGAUCUUGUUCAUGAGAUUUCUAAAAAUCAAUAUUUUUACGUAUUCUUCUAAUUUCUAUGUGCAUUAAAUUGCUAUAGUAUCCUAUACUUUAUUAUUUUAUACUUUAUUUUUUCUCGCCAUCUUUCUUUUAUUUCCCUUUUGCCAUUUUUUGUUAUAUUUCUUUUUCCUUCAGAUAAAAAAACCAGAAUAUUUCGCAGGUCAAAGCAAGAAAGACACUUCGAAUAUUUUUUCUAUUUACUUUAUAUCUUCAGAAAAGAAGAAAGAGAAUUUUCCUAUUAUUAAAUUCAAUACACUAUUCAAUAAAUAGAAAACUUUAAAUGAAAGUAUUAGAAAAUGAAAUUUCUCACACUUAUUCUACAUUACAUUGUCGGAAAAAAAUAUUGUAUGCAUCGAUAUGAAAAUAUUUAGUACAUGAAGCCAUGAUCUGAUAUAUAUAUCAAUCUUAUUAUAUAUAAAUCUCAUAUAGGUAUAUAUAUAUAUAUCAAUAUAAAUUGAUUUUGUGUUCUGGAAUCAAAGAAAGAUAUUUUAAAAGUCUCUUCUAUGUCUUAUGUUAUGACUUCGAAUAAACUUUUCUAUGGAGGAAGGGAAUAGUGAUUUAUUCCUAUAGAAUAACUAGGAGCAAGAAGCUUUAAUCAGAAAUAUCGACAGAUUUUUUCGGAGUCCAAAGAAAAAGAAAUAUGAAAAUGAAAGAAAAAGAAAAACUACUGUUUCAAUUUCAUCUAUAUCGUAUAUCGAAUUUUAAUAUCAGAAUAGUAGAUAUAGUCAUGAUGCAAUAGGUUAGGUCCACUUACUUUUUCUUUUAUUGAUUCCUAAUCUAAUUUUUAGAAUUGAUUUGAUUGGAAUAGUGGAAAAUAAGAAAAUUUGGCGAUUUAAGAGCCAAUUUAUCAUUAUUCAUUAUAAUAUACUAAACAAAUGUUCAACUUUAUAACUAUAUUUAUAACUAUAAUUAAAUGUUUAUAGUUUAUAGUUAUAAUUAAUAUUAUAGUUAUAAUUAAUAUUAAUUUAAUAUAGCAUUAUUAUGAUAGUAUUAAUGUGGUAUAAAUCAUUAUAAUGUUAAUUUUUAAAAAUUUCUAAUUUUAUUUUAGAAUUAAUUAUAGAGUUUCUUACUUUUUUUAUUACAAAUAUCAACAAUAUUUCUAUUCCCUCUUCAAAUAAGAAUACUACCGCUGGGUUUUAUGAAAAAAGGCCAAAGCCAAAGCCCCUUAUCGGAUUUGAACCGAUGACUUACGCCUUACCAUGGCGUUACUCUACCGCUGAGUUAAAAGGGCCCCUUUGAUUCAAUUCCUGAAUGAGCCGCUAUGCGGAUAAGAUAGAUCUAUGGAAAUAGAUUAGAAAUCAAAUUUCUAUUCUAUAAAGUAAAUAAAUAGAUUCUAUAUAUAUAUAUAUUAUAUAUAAAGAUAUAUAAAGUAAAUAAAUAUAUUAUAUUCUAAUUUUUUAUAUUAUAUAUUAUAUAAUUAUACUAAGUAUAUUUAAGACUAAGUAUAUUAAAGUAUAUUAUAGUAUAUUAAAGUAUAUUAUAAAUUAAUAUAUAAGUAUAUUAUACUAAGUAUAGGGUAUAGGGAGUAGACUCAUAGUAGUUCAUUCAUAAGUGAGAGAUUUGAUUUGAUUUACCCAGUGAGGAAAGGCUAAACUAGUGAAUAUAGGUAAAAAGUGGUUUAUUGAUAUUGAAUUUGAUAAAUAUCAAUGUAAUGAAUUUUUCAAGGUCGAACCGAAACCUAAUUGAAUUGACCACCAUCAGAACGAAAUACAUUUGAUUGAUACAUGUAUUUAGCAAUUCAACAUAUAUCCAAGAUAUUUCAUCGAAUCACUGAUGAAAAGACUCUAUUUGCCCCCCGAACCAAAUUCUUAAAAAAAAAAAUUAAUAAAUAAUAAAAUAAUUAAUUUAAAUAUAAUUAAUUUAAAUAAAAUAAUUAAUUUAAUUUUAAUAUAAAAUAAUAAUUAAUUUAAAUAAAAUAAUUAAUUUAAUUUUAAUAUAAAAUAAUAAUUAAUUUAAAUAAAAUAAUUAAUUUAAUUUUAAUAUAAAAUAAUAAUUAAUUUAAAUAAAAUAAUUAAUUUAAUUUUAAUAUAAAAUA
Molecule: transfer RNA, 3293 nt
Filed under: Hevea brasiliensis (rubber tree)
Lineage: Eukaryota; Viridiplantae; Streptophyta; Magnoliopsida; Malpighiales; Euphorbiaceae
Source: RNAcentral